GACUGAGCUAAAGUUAAUCUGUUGUGACAUUCUGGAUGUACUGGACAAACACCUCAUUCCAGCAGCUAACACUGGCGAGUCCAAGGUUUUCUAUUAUAAAAUGUUGGCAAAAGCAGCUUUUGAUGAUGCAAUUGCAGAACUGGAUACACUGAGUGAAGAAAGCUAUAAGGACUCUACACUUAUCAUGCAGUUGUUACGUGAUAAUCUGACACUAUGGACUUCAGACAUGCAGGGUGAUGAUUCCUAAAGGAAAAUCCAACUCUUCCUUUCCUAAAAACUCUACUUUGUGAAGAGCAGAAUAAAGAAGCGCUGCAGGAUGUGGAAGAUGAAAAUCAGUGAGACAUAAAAGCCAACAAGAGAAACCAUCUCUGACCACCCCACUCCUCCCCAUCCCACCCCUUGGAGAUUCCCCAUUGUCACUGAGAACCACCAAAUCUGACUUUUACAUUUGGUCUCAGAAUUUAGGUUCCUGCCUUUUUUUUUUUUUUUUUUU
Molecule: long non-coding RNA, 493 nt
Organism: Octodon degus (degu)
Lineage: Eukaryota; Metazoa; Chordata; Mammalia; Rodentia; Octodontidae
Exons: 4
Source: RefSeq, a predicted model, not a curated record